CCACACUAAAAAAACUUUCCACGUGAACCGUAUCAAACCCCUAUAAUUUGGGGGCUUGCUCGGCGGCGUGCGUGCUGGCCCUGUAAUGGGUCGGCGUGCUGCUGCUGGGCGGGCUCUAUCAUGGGCGAGCGUUUGGGCUUCGGCUCGAGCUAGUAGCUAUCAAUUUUAAACCCUUUCUUAAAUACUGAACAUACUGUGGGGACGAAAGUCUCUGCUUUUAACUAGAUAGCAACUUUCAGCAGUGGAUGUCUAGGCUCGCACAUCGAUGAAGAACGCUGCGAACUGCGAUACGUAAUGCGAAUUGCAGGAUUCAGUGAGUCAUCGAAAUUUUGAACGCAUAUUGCACUUCCGGGUUAGUCCUGGGAGUAUGCCUGUAUCAGUGUCCGUACAUCAACCUUGGUUUUCUUCCUUCCGUGUAGUCGGUGGAGGAUAUGCCAGACGUGAAGUGUCUUGCUGGCGGUCUUUCGAGUCUGCCGGUGAGUCCUUUGAAAUGUACUGAACUGUACUCUCUCUUUGCGCGAAAAGCGUGGCGUUGCUGGUUGUGGAGGCUGCCUGUGUGGCCAGUCGGCGACCGGUUUGUUAGCUGUGACGUUUAAUGGAGGAGUGUUCGAUUCGCGGUAUGGUUGGCUUCGGCUGAACAAUCUGCUUAUUGGGUGCUUUUCCUGUCAUUGGCGGUACGAACUGGUGAACCGUAGCUGUGUGGUGCUUGGCUUUUGAACCGGCUUUUUUUGGGAAGUAGUGUGACGGCUUUGGCUGUCGAGGGGUCCCAUUCAGUUUGGAAACUUUUGUGUGUGCGGCUUCGUGCGUGCGCGCAUCUCAA
Molecule: ribosomal RNA, 820 nt
Filed under: Phytophthora gonapodyides
Lineage: Eukaryota; Oomycota; Peronosporomycetes; Peronosporales; Peronosporaceae
Description: eukaryotic LSU rRNA
Rfam family: 5.8S ribosomal RNA (bases 231-385)
Source: RNAcentral